GAUGAAGAACGUAGCGAAAUGCGAUAAGUAAUGUGAAUUGCAGAAUUCAGUGAAUCAUCGAAUCUUUGAACGCACAUUGCGCCCGCCAGUAUUCUGGCUGGCAUGCCUGUCCGAGCGUCAUUUCAACCAUCAAGCCCCCGGGCUUGUGUUGGGGACCUGCGGCUGCCCGCAGGCCCUGAAAACCAGUGGCGGGCUCGCUGUCACACCGAGCGUAGUAGCAAUCACCUCGCUCAGGGCGUGCUGCGGGUUCCGGCCGUUAAACAGCCUUACAAAACCCAAGGUUGACCUCGGAUCAGGUAGGAAGACCCGCUGAACUUAAGCAUAUCAAUAAGCGGAGGA
This 339-nucleotide unclassified non-coding RNA is filed under the name soil metagenome. RNAcentral describes it as "partial contains 5.8S ribosomal RNA, internal transcribed spacer 2, and large subunit ribosomal RNA". The stretch from base 1 to 120 matches the Rfam family "5.8S ribosomal RNA", at positions 35 to 154 of the family's 154-position model. The record is from RNAcentral.